RNAcentral lists this ribosomal RNA (468 nucleotides) under uncultured bacterium. RNAcentral describes it as "partial 16S ribosomal RNA". It matches the Rfam family "Bacterial small subunit ribosomal RNA", at positions 28 to 507 of the family's 1533-position model. The record is from RNAcentral.
GACGAACGCUGGCGGCGUGCUUAACACAUGCAAGUCGAACGGAAAGGCCCUGCUUUUGUGGGGUGCUCGAGUGGCGAACGGGUGAGUAACACGUGAGUAACCUGCCCUUGACUUUGGGAUAUCUUCAGGAAACUGGGGCUAAUAACGGAUAGGAGCUCCUGCUGCAUGGUGGGGGUUGGAUAGUUUCGGCGGUUGGGGAUGGACUCGCGGCUUAUCAGCUUGUUGGUGGGGUAGUGGCUUACCAAGGCUUUGACGGGUAGCCGGCCUGAGAGGGUGACCGGCCACAUUGGGACUGAGAUACGGCCCAGACUCCUACGGGAGGCAGCAGUGGGGAAUAUUGCACAAUGGGCGGAAGCCUGAUGCAGCAACGCCGCGUGCGGGAUGACGGCCUUCGGGUUGUAAACCGCUUUCGCCUGUGACGAAGCGUGAGUGACGGUAAUGGGUAAAGAAGCACCGGCUAACUACGUG